ACCAGCAGUAGAUCAAGACUUUCGACAUAACCCUAAUCUGAUGAGAUUAGAUCACCCAAAGAGUCCUAAUCAACUUGGACUCUUCCAAAUUGACUCUAGAAUUAAACUCUUUUAAUUUUGAUGAAUUUACAAAUCAAGAUUGAUAUCUAGCAAUAUGUCAUGACUACCCAAAAGAUUUAAAAUUUUGAUGAAAAAUUAUCAAAAUAUACCUUCAGUGGUAAGUU
Molecule: long non-coding RNA, 224 nt
Filed under: Elaeis guineensis (African oil palm)
Lineage: Eukaryota; Viridiplantae; Streptophyta; Magnoliopsida; Arecales; Arecaceae
Description: long non-coding RNA (EGUI_LNC059456)
Source: RNAcentral